GGGAGCUUGCUCCUGGAUUCAGCGGCGGACGGGUGAGUAAUGCCUAGGAAUCUGCCUGGUAGUGGGGGAUAACGUCCGGAAACGGGCGCUAAUACCGCAUACGUCCUGAGGGAGAAAGUGGGGGAUCUUCGGACCUCACGCUAUCAGAUGAGCCUAGGUCGGAUUAGCUAGUUGGUGGGGUAAAGGCCUACCAAGGCGACGAUCCGUAACUGGUCUGAGAGGAUGAUCAGUCACACUGGAACUGAGACACGGUCCAGACUCCUACGGGAGGCAGCAGUGGGGAAUAUUGGACAAUGGGCGAAAGCCUGAUCCAGCCAUGCCGCGUGUGUGAAGAAGGUCUUCGGAUUGUAAAGCACUUUAAGUUGGGAGGAAGGGCAGUAAGUUAAUACCUUGCUGUUUUGACGUUACCAACAGAAUAAGCACCGGCUAACUUCGUGCCAGCAGCCGCGGUAAUACGAAGGGUG
This 464-nucleotide ribosomal RNA is filed under the name uncultured Pseudomonas sp. Its description in RNAcentral is "bacterial SSU rRNA". It matches the Rfam family "Bacterial small subunit ribosomal RNA", at positions 74 to 534 of the family's 1533-position model. Lineage: Bacteria; Pseudomonadati; Pseudomonadota; Gammaproteobacteria; Pseudomonadales; Pseudomonadaceae. The record is from RNAcentral.